UUCUGGUCGGUAGCCACGUGGACUCAGUGCUCAGUCUCAGGUGGUCCCGCUCAGCUGUUGGAGGUUUCAAUGCCCCUCGAAGCUCCUGUGACGUGGGAGUUUAGGCACAGGUUUCUACGUAUGCGGUGCUCCACUUCCUUCCCUGGUCCCUUCUGCUAGGGGAGAAGGCUUGCGAUUUGGUGGGA
Mastomys coucha (southern multimammate mouse) is the source of this 185-nucleotide long non-coding RNA. RefSeq lists it as uncharacterized. The record is from RefSeq and is a predicted model, not a curated record. The transcript is spliced from 2 exons. NCBI's taxonomy places the organism in Eukaryota, Metazoa, Chordata, Mammalia, Rodentia, Muridae.